RNAcentral lists this ribosomal RNA (863 nucleotides) under uncultured bacterium. RNAcentral describes it as "bacterial SSU rRNA". It matches the Rfam family "Bacterial small subunit ribosomal RNA", at positions 8 to 916 of the family's 1533-position model. The record is from RNAcentral.
AGAGUUUGAUCCUGGCUCAGAGCGAACGCUGGCGGCAGGCUUAACACAUGCAAGUCGAGCGGGCGUAGCAAUACGUCAGCGGCAGACGGGUGAGUAACGCGUGGGAACGUACCUUUUGGUUCGGAACAACACAGGGAAACUUGUGCUAAUACCGGAUAAGCCCUUACGGGGAAAGAUUUAUCGCCGAAAGAUCGGCCCGCGUCUGAUUAGCUAGUUGGUGAGGUAACGGCUCACCAAGGCGACGAUCAGUAGCUGGUCUGAGAGGAUGAUCAGCCACAUUGGGACUGAGACACGGCCCAAACUCCUACGGGAGGCAGCAGUGGGGAAUAUUGGACAAUGGGCGCAAGCCUGAUCCAGCCAUGCCGCGUGAGUGAUGAAGGCCCUAGGGUUGUAAAGCUCUUUUGUGCGGGAAGAUAAUGACGGUACCGCAAGAAUAAGCCCCGGCUAACUUCGUGCCAGCAGCCGCGGUAAUACGAAGGGGGCUAGCGUUGCUCGGAAUCACUGGGCGUAAAGGGUGCGUAGGCGGGUCUUUAAGUCAGAGGUGAAAUCCUGGAGCUCAACUCCAGAACUGCCUUUGAUACUGAGGAUCUUGAGUUCGGGAGAGGUGAGUGGAACUGCGAGUGUAGAGGUGAAAUUCGUAGAUAUUCGCAAGAACACCAGUGGCGAAGGCGGCUCACUGGCCCGAUACUGACGCUGAGGCACGAAAGCGUGGGGAGCAAACAGGAUUAGAUACCCUGGUAGUCCACGCCGUAAACGAUGAAUGCCAGCCGUUAGUGGGUUUACUCACUAGUGGCGCAGCUAACGCUUUAAGCAUUCCGCCUGGGGAGUACGGUCGCAAGAUUAAAACUCAAAGGAAUUGACGG